AGGUGUCAAUUGGACAGAACUUCUACAAAAAUAUUGGCCAAGUACAACGUUUUUCUGCUGUUUUUUCUUGUUCAGAAUUAAACCGGUUGUCCCCAAAAUUCAGUUUAACACAAAGAAGUUGAGGACCAUAUCUUUGUCUCCAAAUAUUUGUUAGACAUGAGUGAAGUACCAAAGCCAGCUUAUCCUUACCCAGCUGCAGGUUAUUACAAGGGACCUCCAGUGAUGGCUCCUCCAAUGUAUGUUGCUGCUCCCCCUCCUAGGAGGGAACCUGGUUUUCUCGAGGCUUGCCUCGCAACUUUAUGUUGUUGUUGCCUCCUAGAUGCUUGUUGCUGGGAUCCUUUCCUCUUCAUUUAAUUAGUUUUGUGGAACCCUUAUAAUGUAGUUCAACUUAUGCUCUUUCACCUUUUUAGCUACGACUGGAUCUUCUUACUGUUUGUGUAUAUAAGCCACUCUCAGUGUUCGUUCUUCCAAGUGAAUAAAAGAGUUACAGGGUUCUAAUUUUGC
Molecule: long non-coding RNA, 504 nt
Organism: Nicotiana attenuata
Lineage: Eukaryota; Viridiplantae; Streptophyta; Magnoliopsida; Solanales; Solanaceae
Exons: 3
Source: RefSeq, a predicted model, not a curated record